GUGCCCUUGUCAAGUGGAUGCAGUGCUUUAAGGGCCUAACAAUGAAGGGUAAAUUAAGUGUCCAUGGAGUCCAGAGAGGAAACUGUAAAAGUCCUUUGGGAGUCUUGUCUGGCAGUGCAGCG
This is a small nucleolar RNA of Sorex fumeus (smoky shrew), 122 nucleotides long. RefSeq annotates it as small nucleolar RNA SNORA26. The transcript has a single exon. Lineage: Eukaryota; Metazoa; Chordata; Mammalia; Eulipotyphla; Soricidae. The record is from RefSeq and is a predicted model, not a curated record.